UAAUUAUUCAAUUCAUAAUUAUAUAAUUUAACAAUAACUAUAUAUUUGAAAUUAAUUACUUUUUCUUGGUGCCUAGAUAUGUUAUAUUGUUCGAGUAUUUAUAAGCUUUAAAUCUUUAAAUAAUACUACCAAGAAAAGAAAAAAAAUAGUCUGGUUUCUUUUAAGUUUUAAGUUUUAUUUUAUUUUUUAUUAUUAUUUUUUUCUUCUGAUAGGAAACAAUGAAUUGAACUUCAUUACUGUUAAAACCUUGUUCUGUUAUGCUAAACUCUUGUUUGGGAUCGACCAGUGCAUCAGUUUUUCAAGUGUUGGAGAUGCUUCAGUUUCCCAUCUCUACUAUUGCUUUUGAGUUGGCAUUCAGCUUUGGGGUCGUGUGUAAGAUUCAUUUCAAAACUCCUUGGCCCCAAAAACAGUUGAAGCUCUUAUUUGCAGAGAAAAUUGGUUGAAAGCUCCUUCCAUUAAUCAUAACUCCCAAGAAUUAAUGGAAGAUGUCGAAAGCUAUAAGCUGAAAAAUAGUAAGAUUCAUUUUGAAAUAUCAUAUAUUUUCCUGUGGUUUCUUUAAUAAUUAUAUUUUUAAAAUAGUAUUUUUUCUUCAUGUAGUGACAACUUUAAAUAAUAAUGUUUUGAAUUUAGAUGGUUGAAAAAUACGAGGGAUAUGAUUCAGUUCCAGCAGAGGUUCCUGACCCAAAAGCCAAAAGGGUUAGUUUAGCUUAAGAAGCCAUAGCAUAAGCAAGGCCAUGUGUAUGAAUUGCUGCUUGGCUUUAAUAAUGUUGACAAAACUGGCCACCUUUUGGAUCUUAGUUUGCAAUCCAAAAGAUUGCUUCAUUUUAAUCUAUUCUCCUUGUUUCUAUUUUUUUUUUUUUUUAUGUUGACUGCUGCUAUUUUGUGACAUGAUACAUUUGAAAAGCAUUAAAACUAAUAUUAAAGAAGAUGAAAACAUCUCACAAUUCUUUUCCAUUAUAACCCUGAUCAUUGGGUUGAAGAAGAGGAUGGAAUAUGGAAACCCUCCAAGGUACCUAAUCCACAUUUAAAGGACCAAUAUGGAAGUGCAAGGUAUGACAAUUAAGCUUAAUUACUACAUAAAAAGCUUGAAGCAGGCCCCGUUUGUUUACACAAAUCCUCUCAUCUCAUCUCAUCUAAUUAUUAUAACUUUUCUAAACUUCCAAAUAUAAUACAAUAAACAAUUCAAUUUUUUUAAAUAAAAAAAAA
This is a long non-coding RNA of Juglans microcarpa x Juglans regia, 1206 nucleotides long. RefSeq lists it as uncharacterized. NCBI's taxonomy places the organism in Eukaryota, Viridiplantae, Streptophyta, Magnoliopsida, Fagales, Juglandaceae. The transcript is spliced from 2 exons. The record is from RefSeq and is a predicted model, not a curated record.